RNAcentral lists this long non-coding RNA (1285 nucleotides) under Numida meleagris (helmeted guineafowl). Its description in RNAcentral is "lncRNA (ENSNMEG00000003681.1)". Lineage: Eukaryota; Metazoa; Chordata; Aves; Galliformes; Numididae. The record is from RNAcentral.
CCCCCCCCCCCGGGCGGGGGGGGGGGGGGGGGGGGGGGGGGGGGGGGGGGGGGCCUUUUCCCUCCCCUCUUUGCACGCGGAGCCGUUUCCUUUCCUCUCAGCAUCGAGCGGGGCUCCGACGUGAACGGGCUUGGCAAGAGAGAGGGGGUGGGCGCUGAUUGCAUCCCCCCCCCCCCGGUUCCUCGCGUUUCUUUGCUUGCUGCGGUGCUGAGGGAGGAGCCGGGGCUGCUGGGCUCCGUGCGGGGCAGUGCAAGGGGCUGAGCGCUCGCCGCCCUCUGUGCAGCGUGGUCAGCUUUGCACGGGGCAGUGCAGCGUGCUGCAGGCAUGGGGAGAGCAGUGCAGUGUGCUGCAGGAACUGUUGGUGCAGGGCGGUGCAGCGUGCUGCAGGAGCAGGCCAGAGCAGUGCCAUGCAGUGUGCUGCAGGAAGGGUCCAUGCAGCACAGCAUGGUUUGCUGCAGGAAGGGUCAGUGCAGUGCCAUGCAAUGUGCAGCAGGAAGGGCUGGUGCAGUGCAGUGCAAUGUGCUGCAGGAACUGUUGGUGCAGGGCGGUGCAGCGUGCUGCAGGAGCAGGCCAGAGCAGUUGCAUGCAAUGUGCAGCAGGAAGGGCCGGUGCAGUGCAGUGCAAUGUGCUGCAGGAAGGGUCAGUGCAGUGCCAUGCAAUGUGCUGCAGGAAGGGCCGGUGCAGUGCAGUGCAAUGUGCUGCAGGAAGGGUCAGUGCAGCACAGCAUGGGAUGGCAGAGCAGUGCAAUGUGCUGCAGGUAGGGUCAGUGCAGCACAGCAUGGUGUGGUGCAAGGAAGGGUCAGUGCAGUGCCGUGCAAUGUGCAGCAGGAAGGGCCGGUGCAGCACAGCAGGGUGUGCAGCAGGAAUGGGCAGAGCAGUGCAAUGUGCUGCAGGAACUGUUGGUGCAGGGCAUUGCAGCGUGCUGCAGGAGCAGCCCAGAGCAGUGCCAUGCAAUGUGCAGCAGGAAGGGCCAGUGCAGCACAGCAUGGAAUGAGCAGUGCAGUGCAAUGUGCUGCAAGCAGGGUCCAUGCAGCACAGCAGGGUGUGCAGCAGGAAUGGGCAGAGCAGUGCAACGUGCUGCAGGAGCAGACCAGAGCAGUUGCAUGCAAUGUGCAGCAGGAAGGGCCGGUGCAAUGCCAUGCAAUGUGCUGCAGGAACUGCUGGCUCCGUGCAGCGUGCUGUGGGUUUGCUGCAGGCAUGGCCGGUGCAGUGCAGCGCCCGGGGCCCUUUGGCGGGGCCAGCUCCGUGCACGCUCAGCGCUGGGGAUCGGAAGGGGCCGGGGGGG